Molecule: ribosomal RNA, 730 nt
Filed under: uncultured bacterium
Lineage: Bacteria
Description: bacterial SSU rRNA
Rfam family: Bacterial small subunit ribosomal RNA
Source: RNAcentral
AACAGGAUUAGAUACCCUGGUAGUCCACGCCGUAAACGAUGUCGACUUGGAGGUUGUUCCCUUGAGGAGUGGCUUCCGGAGCUAACGCGUUAAGUCGACCGCCUGGGGAGUACGGCCGCAAGGUUAAAACUCAAAUGAAUUGACGGGGGCCCGCACAAGCGGUGGAGCAUGUGGUUUAAUUCGAUGCAACGCGAAGAACCUUACCUACUCUUGACAUCCACGGAAUUUAGCAGAGAUGCUUUAGUGCCUUCGGGAACCGUGAGACAGGUGCUGCAUGGCUGUCGUCAGCUCGUGUUGUGAAAUGUUGGGUUAAGUCCCGCAACGAGCGCAACCCUUAUCCUUUGUUGCCAGCGGUUCGGCCGGGAACUCAAAGGAGACUGCCAGUGAUAAACUGGAGGAAGGUGGGGAUGACGUCAAGUCAUCAUGGCCCUUACGAGUAGGGCUACACACGUGCUACAAUGGCGCAUACAAAGAGAAGCGACCUCGCGAGAGCAAGCGGACCUCAUAAAGUGCGUCGUAGUCCGGAUUGGAGUCUGCAACUCGACUCCAUGAAGUCGGAAUCGCUAGUAAUCGUAGAUCAGAAUGCUACGGUGAAUACGUUCCCGGGCCUUGUACACACCGCCCGUCACACCAUGGGAGUGGGUUGCAAAAGAAGUAGGUAGCUUAACCUUCGGGAGGGCGCUUACCACUUUGUGAUUCAUGACUGGGGUGAAGUCGUAACAAGGUAACC